UGGCGGCAUGCCUAACACAUGCAAGUCGAACGAUACCUUUCGGGGUAUAGUGGCGCACGGGUGCGUAACGCGUGGGAAUCUGCCCUGGGGUUCGGGAUAACCGUUGGAAACGACGGCUAAUACCGGAUGAUGAUGAAAAUCCAAAGAUUUAUCGCCCUGGGAUGAGCCCGCGUCGGAUUAGCUAGUUGGUGGGGUAAAGGCCUACCAAGGCGACGAUCCGUAGCUGGUCUGAGAGGAUGAUCAGCCACACUGGGACUGAGACACGGCCCAGACUCCUACGGGAGGCAGCAGUGGGGAAUAUUGGACAAUGGGCGCAAGCCUGAUCCAGCAAUGCCGCGUGAGUGAUGAAGGCCUUAGGGUUGUAAAGCUCUUUUACCCGGGAUGAUAAUGACAGUACCGGGAGAAUAAGCCCCGGCUAACUCCGUGCCAGCAGCCGCGGUAAUACGGAGGGGGCUAGCGUUGUUCGGAAUUACUGGGCGUAAAGCGCACGUAGGCGGCUUUGUAAGUUAGAGGUGAAAGCCCGGAGCUCAACUCCGGAAUUGCCUUUGAUACUGCAUGGCUUGAAUCCAGGAGAGGUGAGUGGAAUU
RNAcentral lists this ribosomal RNA (587 nucleotides) under uncultured bacterium. RNAcentral's name for it is "bacterial SSU rRNA". It matches the Rfam family "Bacterial small subunit ribosomal RNA", at positions 37 to 668 of the family's 1533-position model. The record is from RNAcentral.